Molecule: ribosomal RNA, 400 nt
Filed under: Oxyrrhis marina
Lineage: Eukaryota; Dinophyceae; Oxyrrhinales; Oxyrrhinaceae
Description: partial Eukaryotic small subunit ribosomal RNA
Rfam family: Eukaryotic small subunit ribosomal RNA
Source: RNAcentral
AAAGUUGUUGCAGUUAAAAAGCUCGUAGUCGGAUUUCGGGUUUGUCCGCGCGGUCUGCCGUUGGGUAUGCACUGCGUGUGACUUAUCUUUUUCGGGGCAGCGCGCGUUGCUUAAUUGUGGCGUGUGUCUCCUCGCUUUUACUUUGAGAAAAUCAGAGUGUUCAAAGCAGGCCUUUGCCAUUGUAUGUGUUAGCAUGGGAUAAUGGAAUAGGACUCUGGUGCUAUUUUGUUGGUUUCGAACGCCGGGGUAAUGAUUAAUAGGGAUAGUCAGGGGCACUCGUAUUCCGUAGAGAGAGGUGAAAUUCUUAGACCCACGGAAGACGCACUACUGCGAAAGCAUUUGCCAGGGAUGUUUUCACUGAUCAAGAACGAAAGUUAGGGGAUCGAAGACGAUCAGAUAC